ACGAGGGUGGACAGGUGGUGGCAUGGUUGUCGUCAGCUCGUGUCGUGAGAUGUGGGUUAAGUCCCGCAACGAGCGCAACCCUCGACCUUAGUUGCCAGCAUUCAGUUGGGCACUCUAAGGUGACUGCCGGCUAAAAGUCGGAGGAAGGUGGGGAUGACGUCAAAUCAUCAUGCCCCUUAUGACCUGGGCUACACACGUGCUACAAUGGGCGGUACAAAGGGUCGCGAACCCGCGAGGGGGAGCCAAUCCCAAAAAGCCGCUCUCAGUUCGGAUUGCAGGCUGCAACUCGCCUGCAUGAAGCCGGAAUCGCUAGUAAUCGCGGAUCAGCAUGCCGCGGUGAAUACGUUCCCGGGCCUU
This 357-nucleotide ribosomal RNA is filed under the name uncultured Anoxybacillus sp. Its description in RNAcentral is "bacterial SSU rRNA". It matches the Rfam family "Bacterial small subunit ribosomal RNA", at positions 1024 to 1382 of the family's 1533-position model. Lineage: Bacteria; Bacillati; Bacillota; Bacilli; Caryophanales; Anoxybacillaceae. The record is from RNAcentral.